UACUUUUCUAUAAUGAAUAGAAAAUAAGAGUUAAAACUACCUAUGUGUCUGUACAGUUGGGUUAAUUUGUCCUAUGUAGAUUCCCUGGAUAGUUUUUCAAAUUUUGUUGGCUCCUUAGUUUUAGCAUAAUUGUACUUGAGCCAGCAAACCAACUGUUUUUGCUUCUACUUUUGUAACUAAUUUGCAUCUUCUUGAUGCCUUCAAUGGAACAUUUACUUCAUCAAAAAAAAUACUUGAGAAACAUGGACAAACAUAAGGGAAAGCUAAAAAGAGACGUGGACGGUGGAACUCUACUAAUAAAGAUAACAACUUACCCAGUGUAAUCCUACAAGUGGGGUCUACCUAUUGAACAAAAUACAAACGCUACUUAUCAAUCUAUCUACAAUAAAAUUAUAUAAAACUCAUUAUUGUAAAGCUAAAGCGUCACAUUAUCUCCAAUCUAUCAAUAUCAUCAAUCAAAAUUAACCUGAUAAAAUUAUUAGUUCAAUGAAGAUAAAAAAGGAAAGAAAUAAUAGAUUUAAAAUAUAGGAACUCUUUUGCAAAUAAUUAAUAAAAUGGUCCAUGGACCAUAAAAUUUAUUUUAAAAACAUCUUUUUAAAAUAAAGUAUAUAUGAACUCAUAAAAUAAUAACAAUAUAGCAAGACAUUAAGUUCAUUACAUCAGUAAGACAUCAACUUACAAAGUACUGCUAGUACUAGUGUACUGAUAUUGGAUAUGCAAGAAAAAAAAUAUAAAAAGAAGAAAAGGAAAAUAUAAGGAGAUAUAUAGUACUAACAUCUGUAAUGGAGUAAACAAGUGGUUUCACGUUGUAAUAGAAUAUGAGAGGAAGAAAUGGAAGAUAAAGAGUCUUCCUUUGAAAAUAGAAUAAUAUUUUUGAAAAUAGAAAAUAGAAUAAUAGUUUGAAAAAAUAAAAAAUAAAAGAAUUUUGGAAGUCAUUUGGUACGUACAUGGCGUAAUUACCACAAAUGCUCAUCUUCCCCUUGAGAAUUGGAGAGAGUAUUUUUUUUUUGAUAACCGAGAAAUCCGUCUGUGACCCGUCCUUUGGACCAAUCACAGCCUUCUAAACUCGGUGGAUAAUGCCCCCCCCCCCACACCCCAUUCUACCCUUCUCCACUUAAAUACCGG
RNAcentral lists this long non-coding RNA (1125 nucleotides) under Solanum tuberosum (potato). Its description in RNAcentral is "long non-coding RNA (STUB_LNC009767)". Lineage: Eukaryota; Viridiplantae; Streptophyta; Magnoliopsida; Solanales; Solanaceae. The record is from RNAcentral.